UGCGGUGGCGGCAGCUAUACAUGCAGUCGAACGCAAAACUUUCAUCGAAUGCUUGCAUUCACCGAAAGUUUUGAGUGGCGAACGGGUGAGUAACACGUGGGUAACCUGCCCAGAAGAGGGGGAUAACACUUGGAAACAGGUGCUAAUACCGCAUAACAAUAAAAACCGCAUGGUUUUUAUUUAAAAGAUGGUUUUGCUAUCACUUCUGGAUGGACCCGCGGCGUAUUAGCUAGUUGGUAAGGUAAAGGCUUACCAAGGCAAUGAUACGUAGCCGAACUGAGAGGUUGAUCGGCCACAUUGGGACUGAGACACGGCCCAAACUCCUACGGGAGGCAGCAGUAGGGAAUCUUCCACAAUGGACGAAAGUCUGAUGGAGCAACGCCGCGUGAGUGAAGAAGGUUUUCGGAUCGUAAAACUCUGUUGUUAGAGAAGAACGUGUGUGAGAGUAACUGCUCAUGCAGUGACGGUAUCUAACCAGAAAGCCACGGCUAACUACGUGCCAGCAGCCGCGGUAAUACGUAGGUGGCAAGCGUUGUCCGGAUUUAUUGGGCGUAAAGGGAACGCAGGCGGUUUUUUAAGUCUGAUGUGAAAGCCUUCGGCUUAACCGAAGUCAUGCAUUGGAAACUGAAAGACUUGAGUGCAGAAGAGGAGAGUGGAACUCCAUGUGUAGCGGUGAAAUGCGUAGAUAUAUGGAAGAACACCAGUGGCGAAAGCGGCUCUCUGGUCUGUAACUGACGCUGAGGUUCGAAAGUGUGGGUAGCAAACAGGAUUAGAUACCCUGGUAGUCCACACCGUAAACGAUGAAUGCUAAGUGUUGGAGGGUUUCCGCCCUUCGGUGCUGCAGCUAACGCAUUAAGCAUUCCGCCUGGGGAGUACGACCGCAAGGUUGAAACUCAAAGGAAUUGACGGGGGCCCGCACAAGCGGUGGAGCAUGUGGUUUAAUUCGAAGCAACGCGAAGAACCCUUACCAGGUCUUGACAUCUUCUGACAACCCUAAGAGAUUAGUGUUCCCUUUCGGGACAGAAUGACAGGUGGUGCAUGAUGUCGUCAGCUCGUGUCGUGAGAUGUUGGGUUAAGUCCCGCACGAGCGCACUCUAUAUAGUUGCAGCAUAGUGGGCACUCUAGUGAGACUGGCGUGACAACGAGGAGUGGGAUGACGUCAAUCAUCAUGCCCCUAAUGAACCUUGGGGCUUAAACACACACGGUGUC
Molecule: ribosomal RNA, 1209 nt
Filed under: Liquorilactobacillus mali
Lineage: Bacteria; Bacillati; Bacillota; Bacilli; Lactobacillales; Lactobacillaceae
Description: bacterial SSU rRNA
Rfam family: Bacterial small subunit ribosomal RNA
Source: RNAcentral